GAAACCGUUCAGGGGUAAACCCGAGAAACCCAAAAGAUCGAAUGGGGAGAUUCAUCGUCAACGACGCUGGCUCCCGCGUUGGUGCGCUAGUGCCCCGGAUGGCCGUCGUUAUCGGCGGGUUUCCCAUCGGCGUGGGCACACCACCCGCGGCGAAUGUUCCGGCGAAGUAGUCGUGCACUUCUCCCCUAGUAGAACGUCGCGACCCGUUGCGUGUCGGUCUACGGACCGAGGCGAUGACUGUCCGUCGUCUUUAUGACGUUCGGUGACAGCCCCUCGGAUUCCCGGCCGACUGCGCGACGGUACUCAGACGGUAUCGGGCCGCAAAAUUGUCGAACGCACUUGCGUCCAGGACCGCCGCAAGCUUGUUCCAGUCUAGAUGCCGGAUUUACGGACUCAGCGCCGUAACCGGGCCUGGCGAGCUGUUAGCAGGCGGAGUCCUUGGACAGGCCAAACUUUGAAUUACCGGUCGGCGACGCUAUUGCUUUGGGUACUCUCGGGACCCGUCUUGAAACACGGACCAAGGAGUCUAACAUGUGCGCGAGUCAUUGGGAUUUGAUAAACCUAAAGGCGAAAUGAAAGUGAAAGUCGUCCGUGAAGUCGACUAAGGGAGGAUGGGCCUCGUUACGAUUAGGCCUCGCACUCCCGGGGCGUCUCGUUCUCAUUGCGAGAAGAGGCGCACCUAGAGCGUACACGUUGGGACCCGAAAGAUGGUGAACUAUGCCUGGUCAGGACGAAGUCAGGGGAAACCCUGAUGGAGGUCCGUAGCGAUUCUGACGUGCAAAUCGAUCGUCGGAACUGGGUAUAGGGGCGAAAGACUAAUCGAACCAUCUAGUAGCUGGUUCCCUCCGAAGUUUCCCUCAGGAUAGCUGGCACUCGACUCGAACGCAAAUGACGAGUCUCAUCUGGUAAAGCGAAUGAUUAGAGGCCUUGGGGCCGAAACGACCUCAACCUAUUCUCAAACUUUAAAUGGGUGAGAUCUCUGGCUUGCUUGCAUCAGAAUGAAGCCACGAGAUAUAAAAAUUUGAUAAGAAUUUUUACUUGGAUCAGAGUGCCAAGUGGGCCAAUUUUGGUAAGCAGAACUGGCGCUGUGGGAUGAACCAAACGCUGAGUUAAGGCGCCUAAGUCGACGCUUAUGGGAUACCAUGAAAGGCGUUGGUUGCUUAAGACAGCAGGACGGUGGCCAUGGAAGUCGGAA
This 1195-nucleotide ribosomal RNA is filed under the name Megachile pugnata. RNAcentral describes it as "eukaryotic LSU rRNA". It matches the Rfam family "Eukaryotic large subunit ribosomal RNA", at positions 401 to 1266 of the family's 3401-position model. The record is from RNAcentral. Lineage: Eukaryota; Metazoa; Arthropoda; Insecta; Hymenoptera; Megachilidae.